This 447-nucleotide ribosomal RNA is filed under the name uncultured bacterium. RNAcentral's name for it is "bacterial SSU rRNA". It matches the Rfam family "Bacterial small subunit ribosomal RNA", at positions 97 to 520 of the family's 1533-position model. The record is from RNAcentral.
GGCGCACGGGUGCGUAACACGUGGGUAAUCUGCCUUCGGGUUCGGGAUAACGCGGGGAAACCUGCGCUAAUACCGGGCAAGACCACGAGGUCCUCGGACCUCGCGGUAAAAGAUGGCCUCUUCUUGAAAGCUAUCGCCUGAAGGUGAGCCCGGCCCCAUUAGCUAGUUGGUGAGGUAAUGGCUCACCAAGGCGGUGAUGGGUAGCUGGUCUGAGAGGACGACCAGCCACACUGGAACUGAGACACGGUCCAAGACUCAUACGGGAGGCAGCAGUCGGGAAUUUUGGGCAAUGGGCGCAAGCCUGACCCAGCAACGCCGCGUGAGCGAUGAAGGCCUUCGGGUCGUAAAGCUCUGUCGAGAGGGAAGAAUGUUCUCGGGGUGAACAAUCCCGGGGAAGCGACGGUACCUCUAAAGGAAGCGCCGGUAACUCCGUGCCAGCCGCCGCGG